This 68-nucleotide transfer RNA is filed under the name Bulbitermes nr. laticephalus THAI100. RNAcentral's name for it is "tRNA-Glu". It matches the Rfam family "tRNA". From Rfam's summary of the family: Transfer RNA (tRNA) molecules are approximately 80 nucleotides in length. Their secondary structure includes four short double-helical elements and three loops (D, anti-codon, and T loops). Further hydrogen bonds mediate the characteristic L-shaped molecular structure. tRNAs have two regions of fundamental functional importance: the anti-codon, which is responsible for specific mRNA codon recognition, and the 3' end, to which the tRNAs corresponding amino acid is attached (by aminoacyl-tRNA synthetases). tRNAs cope with the degeneracy of the genetic code in two manners: having more than one tRNA (with a specific anti-codon) for a particular amino acid; and 'wobble' base-pairing, i.e. permitting non-standard base-pairing at the 3rd anti-codon position. Lineage: Eukaryota; Metazoa; Arthropoda; Insecta; Blattodea; Termitidae. The record is from RNAcentral.
AUUUAUAUAGUUUAGAAUAAACAUUACACUUUCACUGUAAAGACAAAGAAUUAAACCUUUUAUAAAUA